CCCCACCACACCCCCCACCCCGGACCCUGGGUGGGUACUAAGCUCUGAACACAUUAGUCCUCCAGCACCUUCCUCUGAUAGCUUUUGGAACCAGGCUCUGCAGCUUGGCUGCUGAAUUGUCAGCAACUGUGGGAGGUGUUCGUCAUCGGUGCCCCGCCCACUCUACACACGAGGAUCUGAGGGUUCCAGACUCCCAAACACACGUGCUAACAUGACGAAGCUGCAGCCUGGGAAGCAGGCUUUCUUCCCAAGUCCACGGUGAACAAGAGGCAGACCUUCUCCGUCCUCGUCCACAUGCUACACAACUGCACACUGGAGGAGCCCAGUAAGCGCCAAAGGCAAGUCAGGUUGGUCUUUGCUUUCUUGGCUCUAGCAUGUUUUGAAUACACUCUUAUAUAAGGGGAUGGUUGACUACAAGGAGUGAGUUCAUGUGUGAUGGCCAGGCUGCUCUUCACAGCUCUUUAGCUGCCCCUGUCAACUUUGGAUGUGGUUAGGAAGGCCAAGUGCGGGAUCUACAGUCAAGCUGCAAGCUCACGAGCCCUCUUCCCUUCUUUCCCUUGAAUCUGUUUCUCACCGCUAUGGCCUACGUUCAAGCUCUCAGAUGGAGAAACGGCCCUUGAACAGUUGGCAGUACACCAAGAAGAAGGUGUGUGGUUUGGAUAUUGAGUUGUCCUAUCUACAUCAUGUAGCUAGCUCUCAUUGAGCAGUGCCAACCAAGCACCCGGGAUCGAGUUUGAUGUUUAGUCCCCAGAAGACACCAGGAAAGAAAGUUGGUUACAAG
RNAcentral lists this long non-coding RNA (781 nucleotides) under Cricetulus griseus (Chinese hamster). RNAcentral's name for it is "lncRNA (ENSCGRG00015041862.1)". The record is from RNAcentral. Lineage: Eukaryota; Metazoa; Chordata; Mammalia; Rodentia; Cricetidae.